UUUGCUUCUGAUAGGGCAAGACACUGUGAUCGUGAGACACCCUAUUCCCUGCCCUCAUCUAUGUGAGCUGGCAGGUUUGGCUCUGCUCCCAAUCCAGAAACUUCUAGGGCUUAUUUCAGCUAUCUUUCAGGAACUUGAAAUAUUUUAUUGUGUUGGCUAUGCCCUGAGAAGAUGGAGUGUCUAGAGCUGCUGGGGCCAACUUGCUGUGCUAUCUGGGAAAUUUGGAAAUGGAGCCAAAAAAAAAAGAAAUGGAGACAGAGAAACCAGCCACUUGUGACAUCAUUUGAACACCCACAUCAAUCCACCCUUCAAACGAGACCACCUCUUGUUUAAAGAGCUAUAGUACCUUACACACAUCCCCUCGUGUAAGUCGAUGUGGCUAAAAGGGAAUUUCUAGAUUUUUCUCACUGCUACCUAGUCAGCAUCUGAUUAGUCCAGUAUAAGGAAACUGCUAGAUACACUCCCAGCCCUCGAGGAGUUCAGGAUUUAUUUGGGCCACAAGACAGAAAAAAAAAAAAAAUUCAAAUCCUGGGAUGGCAUAUGACAAGAGGUGCCAUUAGUAAGUGCUCUUCAGUUCUGAGAAAAGCAAUCUGGUCCGUGAGGAUCUAGGACAUUAGUGAGCUGGUCCUUAGAGGACAGGUAGGCUUCCACCAGUGAGAGGGACAGGGGGCCACCAAAUGGAGGGCCUAGUGGGAGCCACUUAUUACCUACAGCAGCAGGCAGUCACUAUUAGUCAUGUUCUCCCUGCUGGAGUGGAAGCCCCUGAAGACAGAAGAUUCGUCUCUCCCCGUACCAAGCAGAGUACCUAGGACAAGACAGGUACUCAAAAAAGACAAUGUGUUUGCACAGUCUUCUAAGAACAUAAAGUAGAUACAUAAACUAGAGCAGAGGUUUGAUGUGAGAUACAGUUGAAUGAUUAUUGUUUUGAAUGAAACUCUAUCCACUUAACUGGUCACUACCCCAGCAGCUAAGAGGCCUGGACAGCAGGGGAUCCACCUACAUGGGUCCCUUCCAGGAGGCCUUGCCCUCAAGGUACGGGAUGGGGACCUGGCUUCAAAGACACAACUACAAUAUGAAAGUUUAAGUGUUUUUAGUAUUUACAGACCCUCAGGGAUAGAAGGCAAGCCUAGAGACCACACACACACAGGGGGUCAGGGAGCACAGAUAGGGAGAGAGAGAAGAAACCCAUGGCCCAGCACCUUUCUUGGGUCCAGGGUGUUAUCUAAACAGGUUUCCUGGGGAGCUUUAAUUGGUAGGUUGAAAGCAAGCAGGCAUUAGUUCCAGUAGGUCAUGCUGGGCUGAGAGGUGGUCACUUUGAGUUCUUGUGCAGAUGUCUGAAGAGCUUCUUUAAAGGAAGCAACAGGAAACCGGGGAGCCCAGCCUGCUUAGGUGUCUCUGAGAGAGAUAUUUCUAAGUUUUACUUCUGGCCACCAGCAAGAGCCAUUCUGAUGGGGAACAGUAUUGGAAACUGAGUCAAGGGUGGACUGAGCCCUGCUUCUGGUAUGAGAAAGCUAAACUUAUAUUUUACAAUGGAUAUAACAUAAAAUUAUAAAUGCUCACUUCAGUCACCUCCUCAGUGCUUCUGUUUUCUUACCAGCUUUUAUUUUCUUAGUAACAUCGGUCAUUCUCUAUAACUAUUUGUCCCCACUAGAGCAUAAGUUCCACAAGGCCAGGGUGACCUUAUCCACCAGGCAGAGGCAGGGGAGGAGGGAGUACGGACUCUGGGCCAGGGCUGCUUUGGUAGGAAAGCUGGCUGUGCCUCUUAUGAUGCAAUCUGGAACAAACUAUUCAUGCUGUUUGUGCUUCAGUUUCCUCAUCUGUUAAUAGGGGAUAAUAUUGGGCUUUUCCUCACAGUUUGUCAUGCAAGUAAAUCGAGUAGGUCACUUAAAAGUGCCUGGCACAUAACAGACACUCCACAAUUGAUAGCUAUAGUUAUGGCUAGUUAUGUUCAUCCUUACUCCUCCUGCACCUAGAAAAAC
This 1979-nucleotide long non-coding RNA is filed under the name Homo sapiens (human). RNAcentral's name for it is "HSALNT0136857". The record is from RNAcentral. Lineage: Eukaryota; Metazoa; Chordata; Mammalia; Primates; Hominidae.